This 253-nucleotide ribosomal RNA is filed under the name uncultured bacterium. RNAcentral describes it as "partial 16S ribosomal RNA". It matches the Rfam family "Bacterial small subunit ribosomal RNA", at positions 524 to 776 of the family's 1533-position model. The record is from RNAcentral.
UACGUAGGCAGCGAGCGUUGUUCGGAAUUACUGGGCGUAAAGAGUGUGUAGGCGGUGUUCUAAGUCUGUUGUGAAAUCUCCCGGCUUAACUGGGAGGGUGCGGCGGAAACUGGAAUGCUAGAGGAUGGGAGAGGUAAGCGGAAUUCCUGGUGUAGCGGUGAAAUGCGUAGAUAUCAGGAGGAACACCUGUGGUGUAGACAGCUUACUGGACCAUUUCUGACGCUGAGACACGAAAGCGUGGGUAGCAAACAGG